This is a small nuclear RNA of Mus caroli (Ryukyu mouse), 102 nucleotides long. The record is from RefSeq and is a predicted model, not a curated record. NCBI's taxonomy places the organism in Eukaryota, Metazoa, Chordata, Mammalia, Rodentia, Muridae.
GGGCCUCUCUCGGCAGCACAUAUACUAAAAUUGGAACGAUACAGAGAAGAUUAGCAUGGACCCUGAGUGGACUGAAAUAAUCUUGGCCUAGGUUAGAUUGUA